This 979-nucleotide long non-coding RNA is filed under the name Taeniopygia guttata (zebra finch). RNAcentral's name for it is "lncRNA (ENSTGUG00000029307.1)". Lineage: Eukaryota; Metazoa; Chordata; Aves; Passeriformes; Estrildidae. The record is from RNAcentral.
CUCACGUAUUGUAAUGUGUUAUGGAAGAUGUUGACAAAGUGGAAUUUCUUGAAGGAAUGACAAUCUGUCAUGCAAAGGCUGCUUUAUUUGCAGUGUCUGUGACUCAGUGGACUGAUGAUACUGUCACUUCUUGGAAAUUCUAAGCGGAAGAGGCUACAAAUAAACCAAGUCUUUGGCUUGCCAGUCAUAUGCAAGGAAUAGCUAUCUGAUGAAGGGAAAUUAUAUAACUACAUAAGCACAGCAUUUUUUUAUGCAGUUCUGGAAGCAGCCCCUGUUGUUCUUUUUAAAGGACAAGAGAAAUGUGCAUCUGUCACCCUUGCACCAAGAAUGACACAAGAACAGAUGAGGACGCAGCGUAAAAAGGAAGAAAAGAAAGGUCAUUAUGGAAGGGAAACUUCAGCUUAAAUAGACGGACAUGAUACAUUUUAUUUGAUUGGUUAAUUAAUAAAAACAUCUUCCUCAAACACCAUCCUUCAGAGGAACAGAAAAGCAAGGUGAAAAAACACCACCUGCAGAUUGUUUAAACUAACAAGUUAUCACAUUCCUACAACUCCCUAAAAAUUUUCACAAGCCACUGUGAGAAGUGAUUGCCAUUUCUCUCUCCCUGACCAGGCUGGCAUCCACAUGCAUCAGAUACAGACAACAAUAUACACAAGUAGGGAUAUUGCAGGAAUGUUUUUUGCCUCCAGAAUAGUUCUGCACUUGCACACCGAUGUAUGAGAAUUCUUUACUGUGGCAGAAAAGUUCAUGGAGGCCUGGAGAGGACACACACGGGCCACGCUCCUUGUUACAGUUCUCCACACCUCUGGGUGUGCAGUACAGGAGCACAGGUGGAAGCAGAAGCACACUCGGAAGUAGGAAAUGUUCUGAAGUUCAGCAGUUGCAGCUAAUCAUUAAAGUCAACAAGGUGAACAAUUAUUUACUUUGCUGCUUUUAUGAAAAGGGGGCGGGGGGGAGUAAGGAAGAGGGAAUCAAGUAG